This 439-nucleotide ribosomal RNA is filed under the name uncultured bacterium. RNAcentral describes it as "partial 16S ribosomal RNA". It matches the Rfam family "Bacterial small subunit ribosomal RNA", at positions 339 to 795 of the family's 1533-position model. The record is from RNAcentral.
CUACGGGAUGCUCCAGUGAGGAAUAUUGCACAAUGGGGGGAACCCUGAUGCAGCAACGCCGCGUGGAGGAUGACGCAUUUCGGUGUGUAAACUCCUUUUAUAUGUCAAGAAAAUGACGGUAGCAUAUGAAUAAGCACCGGCUAACUCCGUGCCAGCAGCCGCGGUAAUACGGAGGGUGCAAGCGUUACUCGGAAUCACCGGGCGUAAAGGACGCGUAGGCGGGUUGGAAAGUCAGGUGUGAAAUCCUACAGCGUAACUGUAGAACUGCACUUGAAACUUCUAAUCUAGAGUAUGGGAGGGGGAGAUGGAAUUAGUGGUGUAGGGGUAAAAUCCGUAGAUAUCACUAGGAAUACCUAAAGCGAAGGCGAUCUCCUGGAACAUUACUGACGCUAAGGCGUGAAAGCGUGGGGAGCAAACAGGAUUAGAUACCCGUGUAGUC